UACGAAGGGGGCUAGCGUUGCUCGGAAUCACUGGGCGUAAAGGGCGCGUAGGCGGACUCUUAAGUCGGGGGUGAAAGCCUAGGGCUCAACCCUGGAAUUGCCUUCGAUACUGAGAGUCUUGAGUUCGGAAGAGGUUGGUGGAACUGCGAGUGUAGAGGUGAAAUUCGUAGAUAUUCGCAAGAACACCAGUGGCGAAGGCGGCCAACUGGUCCGAUACUGACGCUGAGGCGCGAAAGCGUGGGGAGCAAACAGGG
This 254-nucleotide ribosomal RNA is filed under the name uncultured bacterium. Its description in RNAcentral is "partial 16S ribosomal RNA". It matches the Rfam family "Bacterial small subunit ribosomal RNA", at positions 524 to 777 of the family's 1533-position model. The record is from RNAcentral.